RNAcentral lists this non-coding RNA (858 nucleotides) under Pan troglodytes (chimpanzee). Lineage: Eukaryota; Metazoa; Chordata; Mammalia; Primates; Hominidae. The record is from RNAcentral.
GGGAACUGCUAGUCUGGAAAGCGGGGCUGCUUCUGCUGGAUGAGCCCGAGCCCUGCCAAGCCCCUCAAGGCAUUGAAGCUUUAGCUCACCUUAUCCGAAUGGUCAUUGGGCAUCCGGACUUGAGUUAACGACUGAAUUUUUCUGGGAAGCAAGGGACACGUUCUAAAAUAACCCCAGGAUCACUCUCCGAACUUGGCCUGAGUCUAGGCAAGCAGUGUUACUCGGUCGCCUUGAUCUUGGAGCUGCUGUGUACUGGGGACCUCAUACUAGUUGGGUUAACUAUAUUCCCAUUAGCAGUACACGGGAUCGCAGUACUCGGGACAAGCUGAGUUCAGCUGCUAUGAGUAACACGAUCUGGAAAGACAGCGCUAGCAAGGAAUGAGGAGUGAUACAGUGACUGGAGGCUAAGAGAUAAUGUCUGCAAGUCACCUAAAACCAUUGCAGACACAGGGAGAUUGAUGGAUUUGGAGGACUUCUGGUUGUGAAGACUCUGACGAUUGCUAAAGAGUUAAGUGAAAUACUAGCGUGGUUUUUUUGUGUGUGCUUUUUGUUUGUUUGUUUGUUUGUUUAUAAAAACAGGCAGAAUGUAGCCCUAUUAAUUGUUAACUGGCAAGAUAAACCAGGAUGCCAGUAACCACUAGACGACAGAUUGUCAAGAAAUCCAGUAAUAACCAUCCACAAGAGUUUAAAGUACAGUGAGGCAAAAUCCUGAUGGCUUUAAAAGAAUAAAGCCUGCUGUACCAAUUAAUAAACUUUUAUGAUAGUGUUAGACCAUUAGUGAUAAUGAGGAAACGUUGGAUUUAAUAUAUUUGAACUGUGGUAAGAUGUGAUUCUUUCUUUUUGUCAACACGUUAAAAC